RNAcentral lists this ribosomal RNA (1429 nucleotides) under Klebsiella pneumoniae. RNAcentral describes it as "bacterial SSU rRNA". It matches the Rfam family "Bacterial small subunit ribosomal RNA". Lineage: Bacteria; Pseudomonadati; Pseudomonadota; Gammaproteobacteria; Enterobacterales; Enterobacteriaceae. The record is from RNAcentral.
GGCAGGCCUAACACAUGCAAGUCGAGCGGUAGCACAGAGAGCUUGCUCUCGGGUGACGAGCGGCGGACGGGUGAGUAAUGUCUGGGAAACUGCCUGAUGGAGGGGGAUAACUACUGGAAACGGUAGCUAAUACCGCAUAAUGUCGCAAGACCAAAGUGGGGGACCUUCGGGCCUCAUGCCAUCAGAUGUGCCCAGAUGGGAUUAGCUAGUAGGUGGGGUAACGGCUCACCUAGGCGACGAUCCCUAGCUGGUCUGAGAGGAUGACCAGCCACACUGGAACUGAGACACGGUCCAGACUCCUACGGGAGGCAGCAGUGGGGAAUAUUGCACAAUGGGCGCAAGCCUGAUGCAGCCAUGCCGCGUGUGUGAAGAAGGCCUUCGGGUUGUAAAGCACUUUCAGCGGGGAGGAAGGCGUUAAGGUUAAUAACCUUGGCGAUUGACGUUACCCGCAGAAGAAGCACCGGCUAACUCCGUGCCAGCAGCCGCGGUAAUACGGAGGGUGCAAGCGUUAAUCGGAAUUACUGGGCGUAAAGCGCACGCAGGCGGUCUGUCAAGUCGGAUGUGAAAUCCCCGGGCUCAACCUGGGAACUGCAUUCGAAACUGGCAGGCUAGAGUCUUGUAGAGGGGGGUAGAAUUCCAGGUGUAGCGGUGAAAUGCGUAGAGAUCUGGAGGAAUACCGGUGGCGAAGGCGGCCCCCUGGACAAAGACUGACGCUCAGGUGCGAAAGCGUGGGGAGCAAACAGGAUUAGAUACCCUGGUAGUCCACGCCGUAAACGAUGUCGAUUUGGAGGUUGUGCCCUUGAGGCGUGGCUUCCGGAGCUAACGCGUUAAAUCGACCGCCUGGGGAGUACGGCCGCAAGGUUAAAACUCAAAUGAAUUGACGGGGGCCCGCACAAGCGGUGGAGCAUGUGGUUUAAUUCGAUGCAACGCGAAGAACCUUACCUGGUCUUGACAUCCACAGAACUUUCCAGAGAUGGAUUGGUGCCUUCGGGAACUGUGAGACAGGUGCUGCAUGGCUGUCGUCAGCUCGUGUUGUGAAAUGUUGGGUUAAGUCCCGCAACGAGCGCAACCCUUAUCCUUUGUUGCCAGCGGUCCGGCCGGGAACUCAAAGGAGACUGCCAGUGAUAAACUGGAGGAAGGUGGGGAUGACGUCAAGUCAUCAUGGCCCUUACGACCAGGGCUACACACGUGCUACAAUGGCAUAUACAAAGAGAAGCGACCUCGCGAGAGCAAGCGGACCUCAUAAAGUAUGUCGUAGUCCGGAUUGGAGUCUGCAACUCGACUCCAUGAAGUCGGAAUCGCUAGUAAUCGUAGAUCAGAAUGCUACGGUGAAUACGUUCCCGGGCCUUGUACACACCGCCCGUCACACCAUGGGAGUGGGUUGCAAAAGAAGUAGGUAGCUUAACCUUCGGGAGGGCGCUUACCACUU